UACAGAGGUCCCGAGCGUUGUUCGGAUUCACUGGGCGUAAAGGGUGCGUAGGUGGUGAGGUAAGUCGGAUGUGAAAUCUCCGGGCUCAACCCGGAAAUGGCAUUGGAAACUACCUUGCUAGAGGAUUUGAGGGGGGAUUGGAAUACUUGGUGUAGCAGUGAAAUGCGCAGAUAUCAGGAAGAACACCAAUGGCGAAAGCAGCUUUCUGGGACGGUACUGACGCUGAGACGCGAAAGCGUGGGGAGCGAACAGG
Molecule: ribosomal RNA, 253 nt
Filed under: uncultured bacterium
Lineage: Bacteria
Description: partial 16S ribosomal RNA
Rfam family: Bacterial small subunit ribosomal RNA
Source: RNAcentral